UUGAAUAAAUCUGGCGUGGUUGUAGCUGGCCCUCUGGGGCAUGUGCUCGCCCGUCACCUUUAUAUUUCCACCUGUGCACACACUGUAGUCCUGGAUACCUCUCGCCGCAAGGCGGAUGCAGGGAUUGCUGGUCCUCUCGCGAGGUCGGCUCUCUCUGAAUUUCCAGGGUCUAUGAACCUUUACACACCCCAAUUGUAUGUUAUAGAAUGUCAUCAUAAGGCUUCGUGCCUAUAAACCUAUA
This 241-nucleotide unclassified non-coding RNA is filed under the name uncultured Coprinopsis. RNAcentral's name for it is "sequence contains ITS1". The record is from RNAcentral. Lineage: Eukaryota; Fungi; Basidiomycota; Agaricomycetes; Agaricales; Psathyrellaceae.